CCUACGGGUGGCAGCAGUGAGGAAUAUUGGUCAAUGGACGAGAGUCUGAACCAGCCAAGUAGCGUGAAGGAUGACUGCCCUACGGGUUGUAAACUUCUUUUAUAUGGGAAUAAAACGUUCCACGUGUGGGAUUUUGUAUGUACCAUAUGAAUAAGGAUCGGCUAACUCCGUGCCAGCAGCCGCGGUAAUACGGAGGAUCCGAGCGUUAUCCGGAUUUAUUGGGUUUAAAGGGAGCGUAGGUGGAUUGUUAAGUCAGUUGUGAAAGUUUGCGGCUCAACCGUAAAAUUGCAGUUGAUACUGGCAGUCUUGAGUACAGUAGAGGUGGGCGGAAUUCGUGGUGUAGCGGUGAAAUGCUUAGAUAUCACGAAGAACUCCGAUUGCGAAGGCAGUUCACUGAACUGCAACUGACACUGAGGCUCGAAAGUGUGGGUAUCAAACAGGAUUAGAUACCCCGGUAGUC
This 460-nucleotide ribosomal RNA is filed under the name uncultured bacterium. RNAcentral describes it as "partial 16S ribosomal RNA". It matches the Rfam family "Bacterial small subunit ribosomal RNA", at positions 338 to 795 of the family's 1533-position model. The record is from RNAcentral.